This 490-nucleotide ribosomal RNA is filed under the name uncultured bacterium. RNAcentral's name for it is "partial 16S ribosomal RNA". It matches the Rfam family "Bacterial small subunit ribosomal RNA", at positions 28 to 507 of the family's 1533-position model. The record is from RNAcentral.
GAUGAACGCUCGCUACAGGCUUAACACAUGCAAGUCGAGGGGCAGCAUGGUCUUAGCUUGCUAAGGCCGAUGGCGACCGGCGCACGGGUGAGUAACACGUAUCCAACCUGCCGUCUACUCUUGGACAGCCUUCUGAAAGGAGGAUUAAUACAAGAUGGCAUCAUGAGUCCGCAUGUUCACAUGAUUAAAGGUAUUCCGGUAGACGAUGGGGAUGCGUUCCAUUAGAUAGUAGGCGGGGUAACGGCCCACCUAGUCUUCGAUGGAUAGGGGUUCUGAGAGGAAGGUCCCCCACAUUGGAACUGAGACACGGUCCAAACUCCUACGGGAGGCAGCAGUGAGGAAUAUUGGUCAAUGGGCGCAGGCCUGAACCAGCCAAGUAGCGUGAAGGAUGACUGCCCUAUGGGUUGUAAACUUCUUUUAUAAAGGAAUAAAGUCGGGUAUGGAUACCCGUUUGCAUGUACUUUAUGAAUAAGGAGCGGCUAACUCCGUG